Eublepharis macularius is the source of this 1458-nucleotide long non-coding RNA. RefSeq lists it as uncharacterized. The transcript is spliced from 3 exons. The record is from RefSeq and is a predicted model, not a curated record. Lineage: Eukaryota; Metazoa; Chordata; Lepidosauria; Squamata; Eublepharidae.
AAGGUGGCAGAGCAGCUUUUAAACUAAUUCUCGGGGGAAAGCAGGCAGGAGUUGGAGAGUCUUCAGUUUGGGACAAGUCAGUCCCAAGGGACAAUAGUGUAAACACUCAAGAUAAAAUACUACUUUGGGGACGGUGACAUAUAAAUGUUUUAAAUAAAUAAAUUGAACCCAGACAAGACUGAAGUGAUGCUUGUUGGGAAGGCAGAGAUCUUGAAAGACAUUGUACUCCCCACUUUCGAUGGAGUUUGUCUGACCUUGCAGACUCGGUUAAGAGCCUAGGGCAGUGAUGGCGAACCUUUUUGAGCCCGAGUGCCCAAACUGCAACACAAAACCAACUUAUUUGUUUCAAAGUGCCAACACUGCAAUUAAACCUGAAUACUGAGGUUUUAGUUUAGAAACAACAACUCAUACAGUUGUCCAAACUAACAUAUUUUGUCUUAAAAGAGCUCCCCCACCCCCACCCCACCCCGUCACAAAUGAAAGUAAAGGAGCAGAGCAGAAGGAAUGCAAGCAUCUUACUGUUCCUUUGAAGCCCAGCACCACUCGGCUUGCACUCGGAGGAAAAGGAAUCAUGUGGGCGGGGCCAAAACCCAUGUGACCUCUCUUCAGCUCUACUGGAACACCGUUCCUGUGCGUUCCAGCUCCAAAUGAGCCCUGGGAAAAGGAAUCAUGUGGGCGGAGCCAAAACCCACGCCUCCAAAGGAGCCCUGGCUUGAGUGCCCACAGAAAGGGCUCUGCGCGCCGGCUGUGGCACGCGUGCCAUAGGUUCGCCAUCGCUGAUCUAGAUCUUCCGUGCAGCACACAUGCCCUCCCUCCUUCCCCGCUAACACUCUUUGUACUUACCUUGUUGUAGGGCAGCGAAAGAGGACUGAGGUUAUGUCAGGGGCGCUCCGCCUCUUUGGAGCCGUUUUCGGCAGGAAAGACAGCCACGCAUGCGCACUGAGAGGCGAGAGCGCCCCCUAGUGAUCUUGAGCUAUGAAAAUCUCCAAAAUCGGCAGGCCUGCACAUGCACAGUCCCAUGUGUGCCUGCACAGAAGACAUAGAUGAACAAGUUUUAACCAGGAAGGCCAUUAGCAGUUCCAAUGCGUUGAUGGGUGGUACUUGGGAGCGACUGACUUCCCCCUUCCUGCUCAUCUUCAGCCAUGUUCUUUCCAUAUGAUGUUAUUUCUUCAGACCCUCUAGCCAGGAUGGGCCUCUCAUGUUAUCUCACAGAACUAUGCAUCUCCAAGCUAGAGACGACCUUGGAGACUCAGAUGCCUGCUUUUGCUACUUUGCCCAGAAGCUGGGAACCUAUUAUUGUGUACUCACUGUUUAGCCAUAACUAUAAAGGGUUCUCACUGGACCCGCGUAACCUUGCACACCAAAACCUUAACAGUUGCUGGAGCGUGGGAAACUCAAGUAUAACACAGACUUUUUGUUUUGCCUUAUCACUUCUACCAAGCUCCAUGAUGGAGUUCA